GCAUCGAUGAAGAACGCAGCGAAAUGCGAUACGUAAUGUGAAUUGCAGAAUUCAGUGAAUCAUCGAGUCUUUGAACGCAUCUUGCGCUCUCUGGUAUUCCGGAGAGCAUGUCUGUUUGAGUGUCAUGAAUUCUUCAACCCAAUCUUUUCUUGUAAUCGAUUGGUGUUUGGAUUCUGAGCGUUGCUGGCUUUAUUGCUCAGCUCGUUCGUAAUACAUUAGCAUCCCUAAUACAAGUUUGGAUUGACUUGGCGUAAUAGACUAUUCGCUAAGGAUUCGGUGGAAACAUCGAGCCAACUUCAUUAAGGAAGCUCCUAAUUUAAAAGUCUACCUUUUGAUUAGAUCUCAAAUCAGGCAGGAUUACCCGCUGAACUUAAGCAUAUCAAUAAGCGGAGGA
Molecule: ribosomal RNA, 394 nt
Filed under: uncultured fungus
Lineage: Eukaryota; Fungi
Description: eukaryotic LSU rRNA
Rfam family: 5.8S ribosomal RNA (bases 1-125)
Source: RNAcentral